GGCGAACGGGUGAGUAACACGUGGGUAAUCUGCCCUGCACUCUGGGAUAAGCCUGGGAAACUGGGUCUAAUACUGGGUAUGACCUUUCUCCUUAUGGGGUUUGGUGGAAAGUUUUUCGGUGUAGGAUGAGCCCGCGGCCUAUCAGCUUGUUGGUGGGGUGAUGGCCUACCAAGGCGACGACGGGUAGCCGGCCUGAGAGGGUGAUCGGCCACAUUGGGACUGAGAUACGGCCCAG
RNAcentral lists this ribosomal RNA (235 nucleotides) under uncultured Actinomycetales bacterium. Its description in RNAcentral is "partial 16S ribosomal RNA". It matches the Rfam family "Bacterial small subunit ribosomal RNA", at positions 97 to 334 of the family's 1533-position model. Lineage: Bacteria; Bacillati; Actinomycetota; Actinomycetes; Actinomycetales. The record is from RNAcentral.